This is a long non-coding RNA of Frieseomelitta varia, 3164 nucleotides long. RefSeq lists it as uncharacterized. The record is from RefSeq and is a predicted model, not a curated record. NCBI's taxonomy places the organism in Eukaryota, Metazoa, Arthropoda, Insecta, Hymenoptera, Apidae. The transcript has 4 exons.
CGCAAGCAGCUUUUAGGAGAAUCAAACGAUUUCGUGGAUCAUCCUGCUUAACGCGCAACCCGGUCACCGGAGACGGAGUUGACGUGACGCCUGUGAGGCGCAGCGCACGAAGGUGUCGAGAUGGUAACCCGGUAACCGGAACUGGCUACGCAGAGUCGCAGAACAACGGGCCUGCGGUGCAAAACGGAACGUCCAGCUCGAAUUCCAGCGAGAAGUCGAACGACACGUCGCCGGCAGCGAAGGUUCCGGCACGCACACGCGUGCCACCCGGUGGAUACUCAUCUGGACUAUGGUAAAAACGCGGCCUCGCGGACGAAGCCGCCGAUCGGCCAUCCUCCUUUCGAUCGGAAAAACCCCCUUCCAGCACCGGCAAUUUCGGAGGAAAACCGAGAGCUCUCCGAAAACUCGAUUCCAGUAGUAGAAAAAAAAAAGAAAAAAAGAAAAAGAAAAAAAAAAGAAAGACUCACACUGUGGGAGCGAUUGGUUCCUCGUUCUCGACGAAGAGAAACAGAAAAAAAAAAAAAAAAAAAAAAAAAAAGGGAAGGCCAGUUUAAGUCUAACGCGAGUUUCUUAUGAAUUUGAUUUGAAAAGAUCAACUGCAUUCGUUUUUCUUGAUUAUAUAUAUAUAUCUCUUUCUAGGCAUCUUUUUAUUCCUCCUUUUUUCUUUUAUUUUAAUGUUAUAACUAUUCUCUGCUAGAGUUCAGAUUCGUUUGAAAGUUGAUUUUUAGUUUUUUUCUAUCAUUCGUUGUAUAAAAUGAAUUUUCGUAUCACGUAGAAAGGAUCGAUGAUAACAUUCGUUUCCCGUUUCUUUACUUCUUUAAUACUGGGUGGCGAGAAAUCAAAAAAAAACCGAGCACCAGGAACCACGCUCCCUUGAAUUCGAUAGACUGUUGUCGGUUGGUCUUUUUUCUUCGGAAAAAAAAAAAAAAAAAAAAAAAAAAAAAAUUCCGAUUGAAUAUAGCAAAAAUUAAACGAAGAGAAGAAAAAAGAAAAUGAACGUCCAGAAAGUAGGAAAAAGAUAGUCCUUGAUUCAAGAAUAUAAUAAUGAAUUAUUAUAAAAAUAAAAAUAAAAUAAAAAAAAAGAAAACCUAGAAAAUGUUUGACGGAACCUCGGAAUUGUAUAUUAGAAGUAGGCAUAUGUUACUCGAAAGAUGAAAAAAAGAAAGGUAAUAAUAUUAAUAAUAAUAAUAAUAAAUAAUAUUAAUAUUAAUAAUAAUAAUAAAAGUACAUCAUAUGUGUAACCCAUUAAAAAAGAAAACAAGGUCAAGUGCUUUCUUAAUUUCCGUGCCUUUUUAAUAAGCGUAUCUAGUUUUUUCUUCUGCAUGAAUUAAUAAAUACGCCAUUCGCGUAACUUUCUAUAGAGAGCACAGUUCCUUUUUGUUUUUAAGUUUCUUUGUUCAUUCGAAUACAAAAACAGAAAAAAGAAGAAAAAAAAAAGAGGUGAAAAAGGAGAGAAAAUUUUGCACAUCGAGGCAUAAAUAUCUAUUCAUAUUUAAAAUGUUGGAGAAGAUUGCAAUUUUACUAAUCAUACCGUAGUAACCUACUAUACAUGCAGAUACUCCUUAAACGGUCAGGAUUUACAUGGAUCCUAUUUAUCGCUGUAUAUCACUUACGAUCCUCUUAACGCAGAGACACUACGUAACUCUUAUCAUACGUAACCUAACCAAUAAUCAUUCAUCUUUUUUUAUAGUCGUUCACUAUUUGCUUCUUCCUUGUUUCACGAUAACACAUAAGGAAUUGUAUUUAUUAUUUCACAGUAAGAUACUCGUGCACACGAUUCCUCUUACACUUGAAAUAAAAAAAUUGAGAAAAGGUGAGAGAAAAAGAGAGAGAGAGAAGAAAUGUUUCUUCAUCGUUUUGGUGUGAGUAAGAAAAUUGUUUGUAUUUCAUCGUAUUCUCGUCUCAUAAGUAGCCCUUUUGUACUCUGGCAUUGAUUAAUAAAAUUUUGUAAGCAACAAUCGUUGUUCCUUUUAUCCAUCAUUCCGUCCACAGCUUACAAAUGAUGUUGACUAUCAAGUUGACGUUUCAUUCCAGUAAUUUUAUUGUCAAAAUAUACACGAAUAUCAAAUGAUAUCGAGCUUCAGCGAAAUAAAUUUAUAAAAUAUUAAAAAAUACGUAAUACUGUGAAAGUGUAAUUACAUGCUAAAUGUUCCUAUAAAUAUUCGUUAUCGAACGAUUUGGUUUUUACAUCGCAGCGAUCAGAUCCCUUAUAGCUGUUCCGUUCGCUUUGCACAGACUGGCGAAGACAUGUUUUUGAUUGGUCUCUUGUUCGAGUUUCUUCGAGAUCUCAUGCGCUCUGUUUGUAAUUACAGGUGGGACACCAGCUAACCGAGCAGCAUUGAAACCGUAUGAUUUUGGACAAGCUCCCUCGCUAAGUUUGUACAAAAAUGUUACCGUCUCCUGAGAUACUUCAUCCUGUUCCUCCGUUUCUACCAUACAUGCCUGCAAAGGACAAGAUAAUAUCGAAAGUACUUUUAAAAAAUUUAGAGAGAAACCAAACAGAAUCUUGAAAAAUAUAAAACUCAUUUACGUACCAUAUGGGCUAAAGUAAUUUCUUUGGUAUUUUUAUAAUCUUCUACCAGAGAAUGAUAAUGUGUAGAGAACAAGGUGCGACAAUUCAAUUUCAGAAGUGCAUUUACAACUGAGGCGGCUAUUGCCGUACCGUCAUACGUCGACGUACCACGACCUAUUAACAGCGAAUAUCAUAUUUACUGAUGUAUUGCAUUGUAAUUUUAAUCGAACGUAUAAUUUUUACCCAAUUCAUCAAGCAGCACUAGCGAGUAUGGUGUAGCGUGCUGCAAUAUCGCGGCAGUUUCGCUCAAUUCUACCAAGAAAGUACUCUGACCAGCCAAAAUAUCGUCAUUUGCUCCGAGCCUCGUGAAAAUACGAUCUACUAAAGUCAAACGACAGGAACUUGCAGGAACGUAACUUCCCUACCAGAGAUACAAAAUAAGAAGAGCGACUUGACGCAUCAAUGUUGAUUUACCACCCAUAUUUGGUCCAGUGAGAAUCAUGAAAGAGGCAGAACUAUCGGUUCCUAGUAAAGUACUAUUUGGUAUAAAUGUGUCCGAAAGAAUACACGGAUGCCGUCCUUCUCUAACAUCAAUAAAUACCUGUCAAAAAAAUGUUUUCUUAAUAACUCUCAGCAUAUUUAAAUAUAUGAA